GUCACUUUCAGGAAUAAGGUCACUUCCUCCAUUAGGUCACAUCUGGGUGUGUGUGCACUGCCUUAAACAAAUAAGUUCAACAAAACCAGAAGACUAGUAUUCCAGGAAACAUAUCAUCUCAGACAUGGAGACAGGAAAAAGUAAAAGCCUCCAAACCAGGGGUAUAUCUACACCAGAAAGGAAUGUUACUUCAAAUUGGGGUGUGCAUGUGAGAGAGGUGAAUAUAUCUACACCUGUAGUGAAUGUGGGUAUGAAGGAUUUGUCAGUGUCAACCACUGUAGCUUUGGCUACCAUUGCAGUAACAGGAGCUGUUGCCUAUGGAAUGAGCCAAAAUGGUAAGGGUUAAAAAAAAAAAUUGAAAAAAAAGGGUUUCAAAUUCUGACUCUCCUAUACGAUCAUCCCU
Molecule: long non-coding RNA, 403 nt
Filed under: Gouania willdenowi (blunt-snouted clingfish)
Lineage: Eukaryota; Metazoa; Chordata; Actinopteri; Blenniiformes; Gobiesocidae
Description: lncRNA (ENSGWIG00000023113.1)
Source: RNAcentral